This 497-nucleotide ribosomal RNA is filed under the name uncultured bacterium. Its description in RNAcentral is "partial 16S ribosomal RNA". It matches the Rfam family "Bacterial small subunit ribosomal RNA", at positions 28 to 507 of the family's 1533-position model. The record is from RNAcentral.
GAUGAACGCUGGCGGCGUGCCUAAUACAUGCAAGUCGAGCGAACGGGCGAGAAGCUUGCUUCUCUGAUGUUAGCGGCGGACGGGUGAGUAACACGUGGAUAACCUACCUAUAAGACUGGGAUAACUUCGGGAAACCGGAGCUAAUACCGGAUAAUAUUUUGAACCGCAUGGUUCAAAAGUGAAAGACGGUCUUGCUGUCACUUAUAGAUGGAUCCGCGCUGCAUUAGCUAGUUGGUAAGGUAACGGCUUACCAAGGCAACGAUGCAUAGCCGACCUGAGAGGGUGAUCGGCCACACUGGAACUGAGACACGGUCCAGACUCCUACGGGAGGCAGCGGUAGGGAAUCUUCCGCAAUGGGCGAAAGCCUGACGGAGCAACGCCGCGUGAGUGAUGAAGGUCUUCGGAUCGUAAAACUCUGUUAUUAGGGAAGAACAUAUGUGUAAGUAACUGUGCACAUCUUGACGGUACCUAAUCAGAAAGCCACGGCUAACUACGUG